This is a long non-coding RNA of Oryzias melastigma (Indian medaka), 1152 nucleotides long. RefSeq lists it as uncharacterized. NCBI's taxonomy places the organism in Eukaryota, Metazoa, Chordata, Actinopteri, Beloniformes, Adrianichthyidae. The transcript has 3 exons. The record is from RefSeq and is a predicted model, not a curated record.
ACAGGGGGCGUGACGCCAAAGCGGAGGAUUCCAGGAGUGCCGUCAUCUGGCCGUGUUUGCCGUCUCCUUGGCCUCCCCCCAGCACGCUGACUGACGGGCUUUCAGCGCUGCGACGGCCUGCCCAUCUCCAUCCUCCCUGCUUGGAGUUCUCCACCCUUGGCUCGUGUUUUGGCAGUGGCGUGGGCCUGCGAGGGCCCAGAGCCCGAGGCGUCACCACCACUGUGGAGCAGCAGUCGCCGCUGAAGCACCAGAUCACCCGCCUUCACCUCCAACACCUCAUCAUCCCUGGAGGCUUGUAGUGUACCUGGAGAGAUGUGCAUCAGAAUUACAAGGGAGAUGUGCGCCAUGUCAACAGGAUCUGGUACGACUGUCUUCACCCAGAACAAUGCUAAGCUUCAACCUUCCCAGUGUUGGCCUUCUCACCGAACUAAUGAGGGAAGACACGCCUACUGUGAGACAAUGGCUGUGCUUGGAAAGCACAAGGGAGCCUCUUUCUAGUUUACUCUUUGUUUUAUUAUGGCUGUACUUUCUGUGUAAAAUCUCAUUUAUAUAAAGUUUGUGGUGCUAUAAAUUUUUAUCAAAUUAAAAUAUUGUCAAAUUUUGAGUUUCACUUUUUAACAAUUAAUAGAAUUUUUUUUUUUUUUAUUUAGAAUAUGCAUUUUGGUCAGGGCCAGACAUAGGAAAUGUGCAUCCAAAAAAAAAAAAAAAAAUCAAAAAUUAACUACAGAAAAAAAAUUGCAAAAAAAAAACAGUGGAAUAAAACUCUCUCGAAAAGCCCAAGAAAUAUAAAAAUUCUUAAAAGCAAAACGUAAGGAUGAAUGGACAGACAAAGAAAUAAAGAAAUACAACCUCAACAGGGCACAAACCAGUGUCCUACUUGUACAUGUCCCAAGCCCGGUGAAUGUAAAUGGUAGUGCAGUUUUUAUUGUUAUACAUUUUCAUCAAGUUAAAAGAAUGUAUAAUGUAACUUUCAAUUUUAACAAUAUAUAUAUAUAUUUUUAGAAUCUGCUUAGAAUCUGCAUCUCUGUUGGGGCUGGAUAUAGGCAUGGCACAGGGGGCAGUGUGCCCCUAAAUGCCCCUCAAAUGUGCUGGCCUGCAAUAAUCCAAAAUUAGAAAUAAAACUUAAAAAUAAAUAAAUAAAUAAAAUAAAAA